GACGAACGCUGGCGGCGUGCCUAAUACAUGCAAGUCGAACGCACGGGCGAGAAGUUUGUUUCUCUGAUGUUUGGCGCGGGGGGGUGUGUAACGUGUGGAUCCUCUCCCUUACAGACUGAGAACUCUUGGAAACGCCGGCUAUUACCGCAUAUGAUAUUUUGAUGCAUGUGGUUCGAUAGAAAAAUGCGGUCUUGCUGUUACUUGUUGGUGGUUCCGCGCUGUAUCAGGUGGUUGGGAAGGUAACGGAUUAACACGGCAACGCUGCAUAGCCGAGCUGAGGGGGGGAUCGGCCACACUGGACCGGAGACACGGUCCAGACUCCUACGGGAGGCAGCAGAAGGGAAUCUUCGGCAAUGGGCGAAAGCCUGACGGAGCAACGCGGCGGGAGUGAUGAAGGUCUUCGGAUCGUAAAACCCGGUUAUUAGGGAAGAACAGAUGUGUAAGGAACUGUGCACAUCGUGACGGUACCUAAUCAGAAAGCCACGGCUAACUACGUG
This 497-nucleotide ribosomal RNA is filed under the name uncultured bacterium. RNAcentral's name for it is "partial 16S ribosomal RNA". It matches the Rfam family "Bacterial small subunit ribosomal RNA", at positions 28 to 507 of the family's 1533-position model. The record is from RNAcentral.